AUGGCGGCCGCUGGUUCCUCCGCCGCGUGGAAGAGAUGGCUCCGCCCUGAGGUGUACCCGAUCUUCGCGGCGACCGGCGUGGCCGUCUCCAUCUGCGCCAUGCAGCUCAUCCGCAACAUCACCACCAACCCGGAAGUCAGGGUGACCAAGGAGAACAGGGCGGCGGGGAUCCAGGAGAACUUCGACGAGGGGAAGCGCUACUCGCAGCACGGCUUCAGGAAGUUCAUCGACCGCCAGCGCCCCGAGAUCAUGCCGGCCAUCAACAACUUCUUCUCCGACCCUCCCAAGUAUUAG
This 294-nucleotide ribosomal RNA is filed under the name Triticum aestivum (bread wheat). Its description in RNAcentral is "partial small subunit ribosomal RNA". Lineage: Eukaryota; Viridiplantae; Streptophyta; Magnoliopsida; Poales; Poaceae. The record is from RNAcentral.